RNAcentral lists this ribosomal RNA (87 nucleotides) under Sinocyclocheilus anshuiensis. Lineage: Eukaryota; Metazoa; Chordata; Actinopteri; Cypriniformes; Cyprinidae. The record is from RNAcentral.
GCUUACGGCCAUACCGCCCUAUCUGCGCCUGAUCUCGUCUGAUCUUGGAAGCUAAGCAGGGUCGGGCCUGGUUAGUACUUAUAAGGG